AAAGGAAUAGACGGGGGCCCGCACAAGCAGCGGAGCAUGUGGUUUAAUUCGAAGCAACGCGAAGAACCUUACCAGGUCUUGACAUCCUCUGAGCGCCCAAGAGAUUGGGUUUUCCCUUCGGGGACAGAGUGACAGAUGGUGCAUGGUUGUCGUCAGCUCGUGUCGUGAGAUGUUGGGUUAAGUCCCGCAACGAGCGCAACCCUUAUGUUUAGUUGCCAGCAAGCAAGAUGGGCACUCUAAACAGACUGCCCGUGAAAGCGGGAGGAAGGUGGGGAUGACGUCAAAUCAUCAUGCCUCUUACGGCCUGGGCUACACACGUGCUACAAUGGUCUGUACAGAGGGUAGCGAAGCCGUGAGGCGGAGCCAAUCUCAAAAAACAGAUCUCAGUUCGGAUUGCAGGCUGCAACUCGCCUGCAUGAAGUCGGAGUUGCUAGUAAUCGCGAAUCAGCAUGUCGCGGUGAAUGCGUUCCCGGGCCUUGUACACACCGCCCGU
This 493-nucleotide ribosomal RNA is filed under the name uncultured bacterium. RNAcentral describes it as "bacterial SSU rRNA". It matches the Rfam family "Bacterial small subunit ribosomal RNA", at positions 903 to 1397 of the family's 1533-position model. The record is from RNAcentral.